AGAUUUUGUUGGGUAUCCAGGAAUUAUUAAAUGAACCAAACAUUCAAGAUCCAGCACAAGCAGAAGCAUUCACUUUCUACAGCCAAGAUCGACUUGAAUAUGAACGAAGAGUUCGAGAGCAAGCCAAACGUUUCACUCCAUCAGAGUAAUUUCUCACCUGCCUAUUAUAGUAAUCUCAAUAUAUCUAUGAUAAAAAACAAACUGUACUCUUACACCUUCUUAAAGGUUUAUUAAGACCAUAGCUCAGACAGACAGAGUACAGAAUUCAUCAGACUCUUGUUAUUGUUCUGUCUUAUGCAUUAUUUGAAACAAAUCAGGCUCAUAAAAAUGUUUCUGGUACAUUAAAUUUCUAAAACUCCAUCAAAUUCACUCUUUUAUUUAUAAACAAAUAUUUUCAUAUAAACAAUUACCCAUUAAAAGCAAGUGGACCUCAAAAUUUUCACUGCUCUAUUUGCUGACCAGAAUCACUGUUGUUUUUUCAUUGUCAUAUUAUGCUGUGAAGAAAAUAAGUUUUAAGAGAUGACAUGAAGAGAUGAAUUAUUUAUUUUUUGAUAGAUUAAGGACUUGAGUGAAUUUUUCAAAUGUUUUCUAUUUCAUGUUGUCUUUGCUCAUGUUCAGCAGUUAUACAUAGUACUUGUGUAACCUUUCACUAACCUGCUCACUCAUAGUUUAAAAAUGCAGAUAAUAUUGGAGAAUAUGAGUGUAAUAACUAUCAUUUCAGUGGAACAAUUGUAUACUAUCGUAAUGGUGUCUCACAAUGCCCUUGUUUUAGUGCUUGAUUUUUUCACAUUUCGUGCACUUCUCAGUUAUGUACAUUACUGUGCCUGACAAUUUGUACUUUCUCACAGCGCAUAAUAUUUAUAAUCAUUGUCUGUUUCUUCAAAACGUUGGUAUCUCAUUUACGAUGACUGUUGCCGGUGAUAUGGCAUAUUAAUGCCUUGAUUGAAAAGUCUUGUGUUCAUAGUCAGCUAUCAGACUUCAUGGAUGAAACAAAAUCUUAUAGUAAUAAUAAAAAAAAUUAUUCUGUAUUUGAUCACCUGACUAUCCAAUUAUGUCUUCCCAAUAAACAAGUAAAAUCUUGAAAUUUUCUACUUGUAAAUCUACUUAUGAUUUAUUUAUAUGUAUUGGGGGAUACGAGAGAGUUUAGAAGAACAGGAACAGGAUUUGUACAUAUAUCUAUUCCAGGAUGUUCCCACUUUUCCUAUUUUAACAUGUUUUAACUCCAUCGAUUGAAAAAGGUCUGUUUGCCCCCUUUUGUCUCUUUGUACAUAGUUGUGCAGUGAUAUGGGUAUUCAUGUAUCAAAAUAAGUUGGGGGAGAAAUGUCCAUCUUUAAUACCCCCAUGAAUUGCUUAUUCUUUUCUUCAGCUUGCAAAGAUAUUUUGCUUACAUAGGUAACUUAAUUCGCACCUAUUUAAUAUUGAGUCUAUAGGGAGAUCCUUUGUAAUAUACAGUUUGAUUCUUCCUGGUCUAGAUAUUGACAGCUAUAGUCUGAUUACUAAAUAUAUGCAUAUGUAAUCACUAUUAUAACUCCACUAUUUUUAAACUUGAAAUCACUGUUUUAACAAUGCAGCAUUGCUACAUUUCCUUUCUAGUCUCCUGCUGUAUAUCAUGUAUUGAAAGAAUCUCACCUACUCUUAUUUCUAGUCUUCGUUCUUGUAUGUAUUGGUAAAAAAAUAAAUGUUAUUGUUUUAA
Molecule: long non-coding RNA, 1693 nt
Filed under: Saccoglossus kowalevskii
Lineage: Eukaryota; Metazoa; Hemichordata; Enteropneusta; Harrimaniidae
Description: uncharacterized LOC102802930
Source: RNAcentral